AGUGAACGCUGGCGGUAGGCCUAACACAUGCAAGUCGAACGGCAGCACAGGAGAGCUUGCUCUCUGGGUGGCGAGUGGCGGACGGGUGAGGAAUACAUCGGAAUCUACUCUGUCGUGGGGGAUAACGUAGGGAAACAUACGCUAAUACCGCAUACGACCUACGGGUGAAAGCAGGGGACUUUCGGGCCUUGCGCGAUUGAAUGAGCCGAUGUCGGAUUAGCUAGUUGGCGGGGUAAAGGCCCACCAAGGCGACGAUCCGUAGCUGGUCUGAGAGGAUGAUCAGCCACACUGGAACUGAGACACGGUCCAGACUCCUACGGGAGGCAGCAGUGGGGAAUAUUGGACAAUGGGCGCAAGCCUGAUCCAGCCAUACCGCGUGGGUGAAGAAGGCCUUCGGGUUGUAAAGCCCUUUUGUUGGGAAAGAAAUCCAGCUGGCUAAUACCCGGUUGGGAUGACGGUACCCAAAGAAUAAGCACCGGCUAACUUCGUGCCAGCCGCCGCAGUAA
RNAcentral lists this ribosomal RNA (506 nucleotides) under uncultured bacterium. RNAcentral's name for it is "partial 16S ribosomal RNA". It matches the Rfam family "Bacterial small subunit ribosomal RNA", at positions 29 to 523 of the family's 1533-position model. The record is from RNAcentral.